RNAcentral lists this long non-coding RNA (659 nucleotides) under Homo sapiens (human). RNAcentral's name for it is "HSALNT0355866". The record is from RNAcentral. Lineage: Eukaryota; Metazoa; Chordata; Mammalia; Primates; Hominidae.
AUCCCAGGGAAUUGUGUCACUCCCAUUGAGCAGCUGUGGGGCCCUCUCCCACAUGGCCCAGGUCCACCACUCUGUCAAAGGUCGCACAGCCCAGACAAAAACAGGACACAGCAGUGUGUGAAUGAGCCGGGCUUUCUCCUUCCCUCCACGUAAUAGAAGGUGCCUGAGGUUGUUGAAACACAGUCCAUUUCUCCUGGGAAUGACAAGAAUUUGAGGGAUGCUGACUUUCAAGGAAUACUGCAUGACAGGCAUCAAGAUAAACCUGAUGAAGAAAACAUAGGCCAGAAUCUGGGAAUCGGGAGCAAAGUAAUACAGCUUCGGGGACAGGCACGUAAUGAGGUCAUGAUGUAGGAGACUCCCUGCAGGACUGGCGGCCCCUGUUCCCUGGGUUGUUCUGGCUCUUUCAGAUUUAUAUGUUAACAAGCUGAAUUCCUGCUUCAUCUGGAGGACUGCACAGUGUAUCUGAGAGAGGAUUUUCAGGAGGCCAGAAAAUCAAGCUGGAGGGAUUUUCAGCGUGUUGGGAGAUUGCUACCUGUUUUAAGUCAGGCCAUUGCCACGUCUUUUUCCCCACCUUGGAGACUUCAGGCCUUCAGACAACACUCCCGCACUGGGUUUAUGAGAGUAACCCCCACCUUCCCAGGAAGUUGGAAGCAUUGCCC